UGGACUUUGAAUCGGUGACUUUCUGAUCAAGGACACAACAUUCUAACCCAAGGGUGUAGCAAGGAAUCAUGGACCCCUGGGCAAAAUGUCACCUUGGGCCCCUUUGGUACAUUCUGGCCCCUUCCAGUCUAGGGUCCCCCCCAGCCACAGUCCUGUCAAACCCACACCCUGCCAACACACUGUUCGAUUUCCUGCUCAGAAUAAUUUCAAGUAUCAGAGCCAAGCCUGCCGUGAGCCUGAAGGUCCACAUGAAGUUUCCCGUGGAUACAUGGACAGCAGAAAGAGCCUGACGGAUAAGAUUAACACUUUUAAUCGAUGAAGAUGGUGUGAUCUUAUCACUCAAGAACCCAUAUAUCUUCAGAGGAGCUGACUCAAGGUCACCAAGGACGGAACGGAGAUCGCAGCGUGAACUUGGCACCGGCCCCCGGUCGCACCUCCGCAAACCCCUCCUAGCACAGAGGAGUGCAGAUAAAGCGGAAGAAUGCAGCCCAUCCAUCAUCAUUGUCCUCCUGCCUGGCCACGUUCUUGGGAAUCCCCGAGGGCUGUGCUGCAGGCUUUCUGACAGCAAACACACUGCGGCAACUGCCCAAACAUGUCCUCCCUCUGCGGUCCUCCAGAAAAGCUCGACGAGAAAAAUCAUACCCUCAACUCCCCAAUGGACUCCUAUCAGGAAUCACACAGAAAAAAUAAAACAUCCAUGUCUUUCUAUGUCUGUAUUAACUCUUUAUCCACUACCCCUGAAUUUUUUUUGACUCCAUCCCUAUAAAAAACUAAUUAUGUGUCGCAAAAUGUCAUUUUCCACAUGAACGUUUUAGAAAUAGAAUUUUGACACAAUGAGUAUAGUCCAGUCUUGUGGAUUUUAGAAUAUGUGUUUAUAAUUUUAUAGGGUGUUAGUGACGCACUCCUUGGUAUGCAAUGGAGAGGGGAGUUACUGACCUGCAGGGAAUCAGGUUGAUUGGACGGUUCUGCAUAAAUCCCCUGACUUGCGUUUGCAGUGUGCAAUAAUACUUGAGGACUAUUUCAGUGUUUCUUUGUGAGAGAGACAAGGGACCUCUCAUCGCUGUAGUAAUCUAGGUGUUUACACUGUUCAUUCUGUGACAUCUCGGUGGAGCCCAAAUACAGUAUUCCAUGGGCAAUUACCUGCUUAAUUAAACAAGACCACAAAACCUGACAUGCUUCAUGUUUACCAGAGUGUCCCAAUGGAAGCUUUCAAGAGCAUUCAUUACAAAGGCAGGAAGGGCAGUCUUUCUUUCAUCCAUCCAUCCAUCCUCCAACCAGUCAUCAUGGACAGGGUCAUGGAAAGGCCUGGAGCUGUCCUUCAACAAAACAUGUCACUCCAAUUAGGCUUCCUGGAGGAAGUUCUUUCCUCCUUUUCCUGUAUUGUGUCUUUGCUGAAAAAAGAAAAAAAAAAUCUAUCAGCUUUCAAGUCUCUGUACUAAAAUGGCUGUAUAAGGAGUACUAAGGUUCUGUAAUAAAGGACAUCCUUGCUCAUCUAUCCGUAUGUUUUAAUGUAAAAAACUGGCUGUAUAAGGAGUACUAAAGUUCUGUAAUAAAGUCCUGGGAGGACA
Molecule: long non-coding RNA, 1568 nt
Organism: Paramormyrops kingsleyae
Lineage: Eukaryota; Metazoa; Chordata; Actinopteri; Osteoglossiformes; Mormyridae
Source: RefSeq, a predicted model, not a curated record